UACGUAUGGUGCAAGCGUUAUCCGGAUUUACUGGGUGUAAAGGGAGCGCAGGCGGCACGGCAAGCCUGAUGUGAAAGCCCGCGGCCCAACCGCGGGACUGCAUUGGGAACUACCGGGCUGGAGUGCCGGAGAGGUAGGCGGAAUUCCUAGUGUAGCGGUGAAAUGCGUGGAUAUUAGGAGGAACACCAGUGGCGAAGGCGGCCUACUGGACGGUGACUGACGCUGAGGCUCGAAAGCGUGGGGAGCAAACAGG
Molecule: ribosomal RNA, 253 nt
Filed under: uncultured bacterium
Lineage: Bacteria
Description: partial 16S ribosomal RNA
Rfam family: Bacterial small subunit ribosomal RNA
Source: RNAcentral